AAUUGAAGGCUGGCAUGAAUGGCGCUAUGGGGAAAUACUGUCUCCUUUUAAUUUUCUACAAAUUCCUGAGAGGGUGAAAAUUCCCUCUAACUUUACAUUAGACGAGAAGACCCUUAGAAUUAUAACUAAACUUUUUCAUUAAGAACAACUUUUUUGUUGGGGCAACAUUAACUAUAACGGUUAAGUUAAAAAAUAACUGGGAGAUUAUUUUAAGGAUGAACUUAAUUACCUGAGGGAUAACAGCAUAAUUUAUAUAUAAGAUUAUGACCUCGAUGUUGGACUAGGGACUUUUUUCAUUAGACAUGAAGAUAGCGGGUUCUGUUCGAACUAUUUUACCCUACGUGAUCUGAGUUCAGAACGC
RNAcentral lists this ribosomal RNA (361 nucleotides) under Mastus pupa. Its description in RNAcentral is "partial 16S ribosomal RNA". It matches the Rfam family "Bacterial large subunit ribosomal RNA", at positions 1978 to 2619 of the family's 2925-position model. Lineage: Eukaryota; Metazoa; Mollusca; Gastropoda; Stylommatophora; Enidae. The record is from RNAcentral.